CUACACUGUUCGCUCUGCCUUCUUUGUGGAAAUCUCACAUAAAGGCUCUGGCCUUUGCCUUCUCCUUGCUCCUGUCAUCUGCCUCUUGACCAUCCUCACAUUUCCUUUGUGGCCCUGUUCCCUUCUCUCAGGUGUGGCAUGAUCCCUUCUCUCAGGAAAUUCCAGAGGCAGUUGGUGUAUCUAUUAAAGGAUGACUUAAAGACAAACAUGACUUGGAUGUUAGGUAGCACACUGCUCCAGAGAGUAGUUCAACUCUUAUCCCUACUGGAAUCACUUGUUUACAGUACAGAGUAGCGAUCACUCACCCCACCCUCUAGAGUAAAGGUGGCAUGCAAUAGUGAAGCUGUGAAGACUGGUGGAACCACAAAUAGAAGGGUCCUAAGUCCCAGAAUUACCAUGGAAGAAAGUCUCCUGCAAAUUGGCAAACAAUAAAGAUUCCUCUGGAAGGGGUACUCUCUCCAUAUCAGGGUCAGAAAAUAGCCCGUAUCACCAGAGACUUGGAAUUGAAGGCUACAGUGGACCUAAAUAAACAUAAUUAAUGAAGUAAUCCUCAUCCUUCACCUGUUUUACACUUUCCCAUGUAUUUCUUAGUAACUCCCCUGGAAAAUUUUUACCACUGUAGCCAGAUUUUCUUUGUCCUAUCAUUUCUUCUCAAAUCUAUCACUCUAUGUCUAAAAAGUAUCAAGGCAUCUUGCUUUGGCCACUUCUUUUGACUUCCCUCUCUUGUGAAGAACCCCAUGUGCAUGUAAAACUAAUAAAAUUUGUAUGCUUUUCUCUUAUCAA
RNAcentral lists this long non-coding RNA (783 nucleotides) under Homo sapiens (human). RNAcentral describes it as "HSALNT0336827". The record is from RNAcentral. Lineage: Eukaryota; Metazoa; Chordata; Mammalia; Primates; Hominidae.